AAACUUGAAAUACCACCCUUUAAUGUUUGAUGUUCUAACGUUGGCCCCUGACCCGGGUUGCGGACAGUGUCUGGUGUGUAGUUUGACUGGGGCGGUCUCCUCCCAAAGCGUACCGGAGGAGCACGAAGGUUAGCUAAUCCUGGUCGGACAUCAGGAGGUUAUUGCAAUGGCAAAAGCUAGCUUGACUGCGAGCGUGACUGCGCGAGAAGGUGCGAAAGCAGGUCAUAGUG
Molecule: ribosomal RNA, 230 nt
Filed under: Klebsiella pneumoniae
Lineage: Bacteria; Pseudomonadati; Pseudomonadota; Gammaproteobacteria; Enterobacterales; Enterobacteriaceae
Description: partial 23S ribosomal RNA
Rfam family: Bacterial large subunit ribosomal RNA
Source: RNAcentral